Molecule: ribosomal RNA, 500 nt
Filed under: uncultured bacterium
Lineage: Bacteria
Description: partial 16S ribosomal RNA
Rfam family: Bacterial small subunit ribosomal RNA
Source: RNAcentral
AUUGAACGCUGGCGGCAGGCUUAACACAUGCAAGUCGAGCGGAGAUGAGGUGCUUGCACCUUAUCUUAGCGGCGGACGGGUGAGUAAUGCUUAGGAAUCUGCCUAUUAGUGGGGGACAACAUUCCGAAAGGAAUGCUAAUACCGCAUACGUCCUACGGGAGAAAGCAGGGGAUCUUCGGACCUUGCGCUAAUAGAUGAGCCUAAGUCGGAUUAGCUAGUUGGUGGGGUAAAGGCCUACCAAGGCGACGAUCUGUAGCGGGUCUGAGAGGAUGAUCCGCCACACUGGGACUGAGACACGGCCCAGACUCCUACGGGAGGCAGCAGUGGGGAAUAUUGGACAAUGGGGGAAACCCUGAUCCAGCCAUGCCGCGUGGGUGAAGAAGGCCUUAUGGUUGUAAAGCACUUUAAGCGAGGAGAGGCUACUGAGACUAAUACUCUUGGAUAGUGGACGUUACUCGCUGAAUAAGCACCGGCUAACUCUGUGCCAGCCGCCGCGGUAA